Molecule: long non-coding RNA, 1335 nt
Organism: Oncorhynchus kisutch (coho salmon)
Lineage: Eukaryota; Metazoa; Chordata; Actinopteri; Salmoniformes; Salmonidae
Exons: 2
Source: RefSeq, a predicted model, not a curated record
GGAGUAUGGACCUGAGGGCUCACAGUGUGUUGUGAAAUCUAUGAAUGUAUUGUAAUGUUUUUAAAAUUGUACAAACUGCCUUAAUCUCACUGGACCCCAGGAAGAGUAGCUGCUUCCUCGGCAGCAGCUAAGGGGGAUUCAUAAUAAAUACAAAAAUACAAAUACACAGUGAUCUUUUCAUGUAGAGUAAAGAUCCCCUUUUGAUCACAAAGGGGGAAAAAACACAAUAAUCUCUGGCUCCCACAGACAUACAAUGUGGGAAUGUUAUUCAUCCCUACUAGACCUUUCAGUGCCAUUCAAAACUUCUGUUGGUCAGCAGUAAUUGUGCCCACUGCCCCUGUACCAGUAGUCAUUCUCACCCUAUUUACGCUUAGCACUGCCCACUCCUCACCUACGGGUUGCCUUGGCCAGAAGCAUCUUGAAGGUGUUAUUAUUCUUUGAAUAGACUAUCUCCUGUCUUGGGCUUGACCUCUGAAGCUGACCUGAGAUUCCUCUGUACUGAAGAUGACUUUAAAGAGACGACUGCUGUCCAUUUUGUUGUGUUGUGUCUACUGUGUCGCUUCGCUCUUCUGCUUGAACCCCAACCGCAACAACUGUGGCUCCAUCAGCGCUCGGAAUCUCAUGACAGUUGCCCAGCAGCUGUACCAACGAGUCAUGAGGCUAAUGCGCACCACUCUCUGAUCCUAUGGAGCCGGAGUUGAGUCCCUCAACACUAAUCAUCACCAGGACUGAGACACUCUCCUGCCUUACCCUGUCCAUACAAUGGAGAUGACCUGCAGAGCACCUGCCAUCGACAGAGCAAGAGGACGAAAAGCUCUCAUUGCAGUUCACCGUAAUAAAGCAGGAGAUAGUUUAAAAAAAUGUCAAUGUUUUAUUGAUGCAAAUAGAUUUUGUUGAGAUCCUAGUGGGCCUUCACUGCAUAAGCGUUGUGUUAGUGCCCCGAUUUCCCUGCAUUAUAAUGUAAGUGCUGGAAAAGCCGUUUGCAGGAUAAUUCAAAGAUGUCAUUCAUUUCAUGCCCUCUUGUGGAAAACUGAUCAGUUAUUUCUGCAUGAUAAAAAAUUGUAUGCUUUCAGUGAGCUUCAAUGCUAUCCCUGGACAUGGAAAAUAUUCCCUGCUGGAAUUGAUGUGAUUGAGUUUAGUUAAAUCUACUACAUGAAUGCAUAUAGUGCAGUAUGUCUUCAUAGAAUAAUACGAAAAAAUGUUCCUUGUGCAAAUUAUGGGAAGGCUGUUUAAUAAAUUUGUACCACUUGAUUAGCUAAAUGUUAUAACAGUUGAGUCUCUUGUAAUUAAUGCUGUAUCAAAACUGAUAUAAUAAACUUUACAUUUGUUUUUCAA